AUGAAAAUUACUUCACACUCACACAUUUAGAACACGUCGGUUGAUCUCUUUUGGACCGCAACUCCAAUUUCCUUCGAUCUCCAGUGUCUACCGAUUGAAGCUGCUUAUUCAAUGCACUGACUAUUGUUGUCUCCACCACUCGAAAUCUCGAUGUUCCUGAAAUUUAUGUCGAUCGUUGCUUCUAGUCCUCUUCUCCAAUCUACAGAAGGGUCCUGUUGUAGCUGGGUUCUCGAUUCCUCUAUGAUGAUCGCUGGAGAAUGCAGUGUCGAUUUCUAUCGGUUUUCGGUCACCAUGACUGGCAGGCAUCAGGAGCAAGAGUCGUUGUCAGACUCUUCUGAUUUCGACAUAAUCACUGAUUUGUAAAGAAAAGAAGUCGACCAAAGUGAAGUUUCAAAGAUCGCAUGCAAAGUGUUAGAUGAAAGUACUCAAAUACGUCCACUUGUGUUAUUUGGUUCAAGAAUAGCCUUAGGAGAAGGACAAUGGAUUCAAUGAAGGUAAAGAAAUGAAAUCGUAUGCUGAUGAUUAGGUCGUCGGAAUCCCACAAAUAAUUUAUCCUCUUCAACUUUCAUUCAUUCAGCAACAGGAAGAAUGGGCUUUCCCAUCUCCAUUGAAGAACUUUCCUACUAUUAAGAAGACCAUGGCUACUUAUCAAUAGAGCCAGAGGUUUAUCCUGAAACAGAUCAGCACGCAAUCUUACAUAUCAGGUAAUGUAACAUGACCCUUAUUUGAUAACAUAUUAAAUGGUUGUUUUGUCCCAAAAAUCAACUCUUAUGUGAUGUAUUUCAUCUGGACUUUGACAAGUAUUUGGAUCAAAGCCAAGUAUUUGGAUGAAAAUCAACUGUUAUGUGGUAUAUUCAAACUAGAAAUUGAUGAUGCAAAAGAAGCAUGUAUAUUAUAUAUAUGAUUCUUUAGUUUCCAUCUAUUUUUUAAGAUUUGGAUUAAGAUUGUGUAUCAGUAUAAUGAAAUGUAACUUUACCUAAAGUUAUGAUUGGGUACUUGAACAUGUUUCAGAUGCUAAAGAGACCAAUGAGACCCAUGAGCCUUCUUAUAUGUAUAUGUUUGCUUCCUUUUGACUAUUUUGUUUUGGUACCCUUUGAAGUUUGACCUUCUUUCAUCCUGACAUGAAAAGUAUGAUCUUAUUAUAGUUAAUACAAAGAGAAUGUAAAUUCAAGAUUGAACAUAGUGAUUUUUAUUUAUUGUUUUUCUUAAUGAAUUUGUAAGUAAUUGGUCAAGUUUUUGUCAAUGGAAGUCAAAUAUGAGAUAGAUGAUGAUGAAGAUGAAAAGGCAUUGGAAGACAUUGUGAGAGAACAUAGUGGAAGAGAUCCCAUUGAAAUUGAAGGAAUCGGUGAGAUUAGGAUGGUGAGGUUGAAUCGAAGGGUGAGAUUAGAACAAGAAGGGAAGAAUCGAGAGAUGAAAAUUGGGGAAAAUGAUGAAAUCAAAAAACCCCAAAGUUGAAAACAACCUAAGAUUUCCUCCGGGAAGCAAUAGAGCGAUCUCAAGGGUGUGGCGAUGAAAGAGACGAGAAGAAACAAGUUUAUUUGGAAGGAUUGUAUGGUAUUGUUGAUGGGAGUGUCAAGUUAGAUGAGAGAAGACGAUUCAGGUGUUUAAUGAUGUGAAUAGUGAUCUUAGAAUAUUCCUUCUAAGCACAAGGUAUGGUGGGCUAGGAAUUAAUUUUUGGUUCUGAAUCCUCAAAUGGAUCUUCAAGCAAUGGAUAGAUGUCAUAGAACUGGGCUAACAAAGCAUGUUCAUGUUUACAAGCUUGCAACUGCACAAUCUGUUGAGCUUUUAGUAAGUUGAAGUUGGAGCAUGUGGUGAUUGGAAAAGGUCAGUUUCAACAAGGAGAAGACAAACACAAAAGUUUUGAAGAUAAUGAUGAUCUAGAAGGAAAAAGGAUAUAAACAAAUAUGCCUCCAGUCUCCAGACGAUCCAAAAGAAAACAUUUUGAAGAAAAGGGACUGAAAGCGUUAAAGAUGGGAACUUUGAAGGAUUAAGGCUUAAAAGAUGAAAAAAAUCCAGCAAAAACGCGUAUUCACGACGUGAGGAGUUAUAGCUCACGACGUGAUUGUGGACUUUCUAGAAGAUAGACAUCGCGAAGCAAGAAUCUGUGUUGGUUACGGAUUAUUAUUGGACUCACGACGUGAGACACUUAUCCUCACGACAUGAGUCGGGAAAAAUCCAAAACUAUAUAAAUCCUUAAUCCCUACGACGUUGAGGAGGUUGGCUGACUUAGAGAGUUUCCAGAAGUCGGAAAUCAGAGUUUUUGAAGGCUAGGGAAUUGGUUUGAACACCAAGGAAGAAGAAGUUCAUAAUUAGAUUUUUACUUUGGGACUUUAAAUAUGUUUUUUAUUGUAACUUGUUUGUGUUCAUUUGUUAGAAUGAGUAGCUAAAUCUAGGUGCUUCUGUUAGCUAGAUGAAUCUGGAACUCAUAGUUUAAUUAAAUAG
Lactuca sativa (garden lettuce) is the source of this 2442-nucleotide non-coding RNA. The record is from RefSeq and is a predicted model, not a curated record. NCBI's taxonomy places the organism in Eukaryota, Viridiplantae, Streptophyta, Magnoliopsida, Asterales, Asteraceae.